CAGUAGCCGCGGUAACACAGAGGGUGCAAGCGUUAAUCGGAUUUACUGGGCGUAAAGGGCGCGUAGGUGGUUAUGUAAGUGAGAUGUGAAAUCCCCGGGCCCAACCUGGGAACUGCAUCUUAUACUGCGUAGCUGGAGUGCAGUAGAGGGUAGUGGAAUUUCCGGUGUAGCGGUGAAAUGCGUAGAUAUCGGAAGGAACACCAGUGGCGAAGGCGGCUACCUGGACUGACACUGACACUGAGGCGCGAAAGCGUGGGGAGCAAACAGGAUUAGAUACCCGUGUAGUCCCUGUCUCUUAUAC
RNAcentral lists this ribosomal RNA (301 nucleotides) under uncultured bacterium. RNAcentral's name for it is "partial 16S ribosomal RNA". It matches the Rfam family "Bacterial small subunit ribosomal RNA", at positions 509 to 807 of the family's 1533-position model. The record is from RNAcentral.